RNAcentral lists this ribosomal RNA (3051 nucleotides) under Triticum aestivum (bread wheat). RNAcentral describes it as "partial small subunit ribosomal RNA". The record is from RNAcentral. Lineage: Eukaryota; Viridiplantae; Streptophyta; Magnoliopsida; Poales; Poaceae.
AUGGGGCGGAGGAGCCGGCUCCUCCAUGGCGCCGCGCUCUCGCUGCUGCUGCUCGCGGCGGCCGCCCAUGCUCAGCAGACCGAUCCAGGCGACGCGGCGGCGCUGAACGCGGUGUUCGCCAAGCUCGGCCAGAAGGCGCUGCCGUCAUGGAACAUCAGCGGCGACCCCUGCACCGGCGCCGCCACGGACAACACCAACAUCGACAACAACCCGCCCUUCAACCCGGCCAUCAAGUGCGAGUGCACCGGCGGCAACGCCUCCGUCUGCCGCGUCACCAGGCUGAAAAUAUACGCGCUGGAUGCAGUCGGCUCGAUACCAGAGGAGCUGCGGAACCUCACGGCCCUGACCAAUUUGGAUCUAUCGCAAAAUUACUUAACAGGGCCUUUACCAUCGUUUAUCGGGGAGUUGACUCGUAUGCAGUACAUGUCUUUUGGCAUCAAUGCGUUAUCUGGACCUUUGCCAAAAGAGCUCGGGAACCUUACGGAUCUUGUCUCACUGAGCGUUAGCUCAAACAAUUUCAGUGGCUCGCUUCCUUCGGAAUUGGGGAACCUGGCCAAACUUGAGCAAUUGUACAUAGACAGUGCUGGCUUUAGUGGUCCACUACCAUCAACGCUUUCCAAACUUACAAAAAUGAAAACAUUGUGGGCAUCAGAUAAUGAUUUUACUGGGCAAAUACCAGAUUAUAUAGGGAGCUGGAAUCUAACAGAUUUGAGGUUUCAGGGCAAUUCGUUUCAAGGUCCGCUCCCAGCGACUCUGUCCAAUCUUGUCCAACUCACAAGCUUACGAAUCGGUGAUAUAGUAAACGGAAGUUCUUCUUCGCUGGCAUUCAUCAGUAACAUGACAUCUUUGAACACCCUGGUUUUGAGGAACUGUAGGAUAUCUGAUACACUUUUAUCAGUAAACUUUUCGAAGUUCACGAGUUUAAACUUAUUGGAUUUGAGUUUUAACAAUAUAACAGGCCAAGUACCACAAACCUUGUUGAAUCUGAAUUCACUCGGCUUCUUAUUUCUUGGAAACAAUAGCCUUUCGGGAAGCCUUCCAAGCUCAGUAGGACCUAUGCUUAAAAAUUUAGAUUUUUCUUACAACCAGCUCACAGGAAGUGUUCCUUCUUGGGCUAGAAAUUCGCAACUGAAUUUAGUGGCAAAUAAUUUUGGGGCCGAUAUAUCAAGUAACAGUGCCUUACCUACGGGGUUGGACUGCCUUCAGCGAAAUACACCUUGUUUUCUUGGAUCUCCUAAAUCUUCUUCAUUUGCUGUGGACUGUGGUAGUGAUCGACCCAUAUCAGGCUCGGAUAAUUCUCUGUAUCAACCUGAUGCUGCCACUCUUGGAGCUGCAUCAUAUUAUGUUACAGGAGAACCCACAUGGGGUGCUAGCAACGUUGGAAGAUUCAUGGAUGCGUCAAACGUUAGUUCUAUAAUCUACAGCUCACACCAGUUUCUGAAUACACUUGAUACAGAAUUGUUCCGGAAUGCAAGGAUGUCGCCAUCAUCCUUGAGAUACUAUGGUAUUGGCCUUGAAAAUGGAAACUACACAGUUACGCUUCAAUUUGCAGAGUUUGCCUUCCCAGAUGCUCAGUCCUGGAAGAGCAGAGGGAGAAGGGUUUUUGAUAUAUAUGUCCAGGGCGAGCGUAAGGAGCAGAACUUUGACAUAAGAAAAGUGGCAGGCGGGAAAUCUUACACUGCUGUUAGGAAGCAGUACACAGUUCCUGUCACCAAGAACUUUCUUGAGAUUCAUCUCUUCUGGGCUGGCAAGGGCACUUGCUGCAUUCCUGAUCAAGGCUACUACGGGCCUGCAAUAUCAGCUUUGAGUGCAACACCAAAUUUCACCCCUACAGUGCGCAGUGCUGCGGCAAAGAAGAAUGGUAGUAAAACAGGUGUGAUUGCGGGAGUUGUAGUUGGUGUAGCAGUUUUAGGAUUGGUAGUACUUGCCGGAAUCUUUCUUUGGAGGCGCAGACAGAAAAGGAGAAAACUAUCGUUGGAGCAAGAAGAGCUGUACAGUAUUGUUGGAAGACCUAAUGUCCUCAGUUAUGGUGAACUGAGGUCAGCUACUGAUAAUUUCAGUCCUAAUAACCUUCUUGGUCAAGGAGGAUAUGGGUCGGUCUAUAAGGGGAAGUUAACUGAUGGUAGGUUCGUGGCAGUGAAGCAGCUGUCUGAAGCAUCUCAUCAGGGAAAAAAGGAAUUUGCAACGGAAAUAGAAACUAUAUCUCGAGUGCAACACCGUAAUCUCGUGAAGUUGUAUGGUUGCUGCCUUGAGGGCAAUAAGCCACUGCUGGUUUAUGAGUGCCUGGAGAAUGGAAGCCUGGACCAUGCUCUGUUUGGCAAAGGGAAGUCAAGCCUAGACUGGCCAACACGUUUUGAGAUAUGCUUAGGCGUUGCAAGAGGUCUGUCCUAUCUUCAUGAAGAAUCUAGCAUCCGUGUUGUGCACAGGGACAUAAAGGCCAGCAAUAUCUUACUUGACGCCAAUCUCAAUCCUAAGAUCUCGGAUUUCGGGCUGGCUAAACUUUAUGAUGACCAGAAGACGCAUGUCAGCACGAAAGUUGCUGGUACAUUUGGUUAUCUCGCACCUGAGUAUGCCAUGAGGGGCCAUAUGACAGAGAAGAUCGACGUGUUUGCUUUCGGCGUCGUGGUAUUGGAGACUUUAGCUGGGAGACCAAACUACAGCACGGAGGAUGAGAACAAGGUCUAUAUUUUCGAAUGGGUGUGGGAACUGUACGAGAACAACCACCCGUUGGACAUGGUGGACCAGAGGCUGGAAGAGUUUGACAGCGAGGAGGCGCUCCGGGCCAUCAAGGUGGCGCUGCUCUGCACCCAGGGCUCGCCCCACCAGCGUCCCUCCAUGUCGAGGGUGGUGGCGAUGCUGACGGGCGACGUCGAGGCGCCCGACGUGGUGACCAAGCCGAGCUACAUCACCGAGUGGCAGAUCACGGGGGGCAACACCACCUACAUGAGCACCGACGUCAGCGGGCAGCCGAGCUCAGCGCCGAGGGCCAACUCGCCGUCGUCCCGCACCUCGUCGCCGUUCCUGAGCUCCGUCAUCGACGAAGGCCGUUGA